ACAAUGGAGAGUUUGAUCCUGGCUCAGGAUGAACGCUAGCGGCAGGCUUAACACAUGCAAGUCGAGGGGCAUCGCGGGUAGCAAUACCUGGCGGCGACCGGCAAACGGGUGCGGAACACGUACGCAAUCUGCCCUUACCCGGAGCAUAGCCCGAAGAAAUUCGGAUUAACUCUCCAUAAGAUAGUAAAAUGGCAUCAUUUAGCUAUUAAAAAUUUAUUGGGUAAGGAUGAGCGUGCGUCCCAUUAGCUAGUUGGUAGGGUAACGGCCUACCAAGGCGACGAUGGGUAGCUGGUGUGAGAGCACGACCAGCCACACGGGCACUGAGACACGGGCCCGACUCCUACGGGAGGCAGCAGUGAGGAAUAUUGGUCAA
This 373-nucleotide ribosomal RNA is filed under the name Flavobacteriales bacterium. RNAcentral's name for it is "bacterial SSU rRNA". It matches the Rfam family "Bacterial small subunit ribosomal RNA", at positions 1 to 371 of the family's 1533-position model. The record is from RNAcentral. Lineage: Bacteria; Pseudomonadati; Bacteroidota; Flavobacteriia; Flavobacteriales.